CGAAUGUGCCCUUCGGGGGAAAGAUUUAUCGCCAUUGGAGCGGCCCGCGUUUGGAUUAGCUAGUUGGUGGGGUACAGAGCCCACCAAGGCGACGAUCCAUAGCUGGUCUGAGAGGAUGAUCAGCCACACUGGGAUUGAGACACGGCCCAGACUCCUACGGGAGGCAGCAGUAGGGAAUCUUGCGCAAUGGGCGAAAGCCUGACGCAGCCAUGCCGCGUGAAUGAUGAAGGUCUUAGGAUUGUAAAAUUCUUUCACCGGGGAAGAUAAUGACGGUACCCGGAGAAGAAGCCCCGGCUAACUUCGUGCCAGUCAGCCGCGGUAAUACGAAGGGGGCUAGCGUCUGCUCGGAAUUACUGGGCGUAAAGGGCGCGUAGGCGGACAGUUUAGUCAGAGGUGAAAGCCCAUGGGCUCAACCUUGGAAUUGCCUUUGAUACUGUGCUGUCUUGAGUUCGGGAGAG
This 458-nucleotide ribosomal RNA is filed under the name uncultured Alphaproteobacteria bacterium. RNAcentral's name for it is "bacterial SSU rRNA". It matches the Rfam family "Bacterial small subunit ribosomal RNA", at positions 170 to 656 of the family's 1533-position model. The record is from RNAcentral. Lineage: Bacteria; Pseudomonadati; Pseudomonadota; Alphaproteobacteria.